Molecule: microRNA precursor, 97 nt
Filed under: Nicotiana sylvestris (wood tobacco)
Lineage: Eukaryota; Viridiplantae; Streptophyta; Magnoliopsida; Solanales; Solanaceae
Also listed under: 1 other name
Description: MIR6152 microRNA precursor family
Rfam family: MIR6152 microRNA precursor family
Source: Rfam by way of RNAcentral
UUGACAGAUUAUUGUAUUCGACUGUAUUCAUGGCGUGAAAUAGGGGAUUACACUGUUUUUAAAACGGAAAGCGAAUCAAUUAACAUAAUAUACUCCU